Long non-coding RNA from Helianthus annuus (common sunflower), 207 nucleotides. RefSeq lists it as uncharacterized. The transcript has 2 exons. Lineage: Eukaryota; Viridiplantae; Streptophyta; Magnoliopsida; Asterales; Asteraceae. The record is from RefSeq and is a predicted model, not a curated record.
AAGCAGCAUUUUUACCGGUAGAAUCAUGUGAGGUCAAAACAGUUGGGGAUGCACUAAAUACUUUUGUUGCUUGGCCAAAAUACCUUGUUAAAACUAGCCAAAAGAUACCAAAUCUAUCAAGCAUUCAAACACAAAACUCUACAACUCAAGUCGCUAAAAAGCAAAAGAUAUGUUUUACAACGCUAGAUGGCAUCAAAAAACAGGGAG